CGGUGCAAGGAAGUGUCGGUCUUUUGCUGUUCCUGCUUGGUUUGUCGAAUCGUUGAAGCAUUGUGGAUGCGAAGAUUGGUAAUAGAUGGGUUGUGUAUGAAGAUAAAUGGGUGAAGGUCUCAGAUCGGUGCCAGUUAGUGAUUAUGAACAAUUGAAGAGUAUGAAGAUGACGAAAUUUGCUGUAGGUCUUGUCUAAUUGUUGGAGGAAGAUGAUGAGUGACUCAUAUAUGGUUUACGGUGAUGAUAUGAAAGUGGGUGAUGGAAGUGUCUGUACGAUGUUAAAAAAAAUAAGGAUUUCUUUGAGAAAAAGUGAGGAGUUGGUUGCUGGUGUUAUUUGUGAGGUUGUUUGUUGAUGCUGAAUGAUGAGAUAAUUGGGAAGGUCAAAACGUGAGGUUGUUGGGAAGAAAAUCAUGGUCAAAGGUUAGGUUUGGGGAGGUGUUUUGUACGUGAAAGGUGUUAGGAAAAAUAAGGGUUCAUUCCUCGUCCCUGUAAACGUGGAAGUGAGUGACUAUUUAUAAGAUACAAAAUUAGGUUAAAA
Molecule: long non-coding RNA, 538 nt
Organism: Vicia villosa (hairy vetch)
Lineage: Eukaryota; Viridiplantae; Streptophyta; Magnoliopsida; Fabales; Fabaceae
Exons: 2
Source: RefSeq, a predicted model, not a curated record